GACGAACGCUGGCGGCGUGCUUAACACAUGCAAGUCGAACGGAAAGGCCCUGCUUGCAGGGUACUCGAGUGGCGAACGGGUGAGUAACACGUGGGUGAUCUGCCCUGCACUUCGGGAUAAGCCUGGGAAACUGGGUCUAAUACCGGAUAGGAGCCAUUUUUAGUGUGAUGGUUGGAAAGUUUUUUCGGUGUAGGAUGAGCUCGCGGCCUAUCAGCUUGUUGGUGGGGUAAUGGCCUACCAAGGCGGCGACGGGUAGCCGGCCUGAGAGGGUGGACGGCCACAUUGAGACUGAGAUACGGCCCAGACUCCUACGGGAGGCAGCAGUGGGGAAUAUUGCACAAUGGGCGCAAGCCUGAUGCAGCGACGCCGCGUGGGGGAUGACGGCCUUCGGGUUGUAGACUCCUUUCGCUAGGGACGAAGCUUUUUGUGACGGUACCUAGAUAAGAAGCACCGGCUAACUACGUG
This 465-nucleotide ribosomal RNA is filed under the name uncultured bacterium. Its description in RNAcentral is "partial 16S ribosomal RNA". It matches the Rfam family "Bacterial small subunit ribosomal RNA", at positions 28 to 507 of the family's 1533-position model. The record is from RNAcentral.